Molecule: ribosomal RNA, 424 nt
Filed under: Verrucomicrobiota bacterium
Lineage: Bacteria; Pseudomonadati; Verrucomicrobiota
Description: Verrucomicrobia bacterium partial 16S ribosomal RNA
Rfam family: Bacterial small subunit ribosomal RNA
Source: RNAcentral
UGAGGAAUAUUGGUCAAUGGGCGAGAGCCUGAACCAGCCAAGUAGCGUGCAGGAUGACGGCCCUAUGGGUUGUAAACUGCUUUUAUAUGGGAAUAAAGUGAGGGACGUGUCCCUUAUUGCAUGUACCAUAUGAAUAAGGACCGGCUAAUUCCGUGCCAGCAGCCGCGGUAAUACGGAAGGUCCAGGCGUUAUCCGGAUUUAUUGGGUUUAAAGGGAGCGUAGGCUGUUUGUUAAGCGUGUUGUGAAAUGUAAGAGCUCAACUUUUAGAUUGCAGCGCGAACUGGCAGACUUGAGUGCGCACAACGUAGGCGGAAUUCAUGGUGUAGCGGUGAAAUGCUUAGAUAUCAUGACGAACUCCGAUUGCGAAGGCAGCUUACGGGAGCGCAACUGACGCUGAAGCUCGAAGGUGCGGGUAUCGAACAGG